CCAUGUGUCUGGGCUGGGAAAC
This 22-nucleotide microRNA is filed under the name Homo sapiens (human). RNAcentral describes it as "hsa-miR-10226". The record is from miRBase by way of RNAcentral. Lineage: Eukaryota; Metazoa; Chordata; Mammalia; Primates; Hominidae.